UUCUGAAUUCUCAUCAGCUAAAACACCAUGGAAGGGCUUCUUCAAGCUGGUUCUUCAUAUUUUUAUUACAAUAAAUCAAAAGCUCGGAGUGGUUGGAAGCUGGUCGGAGCAUCAUCACACUAUCCUUCGACUUAUUUUGGUAUAUGUAACAAACUAAAUUUUUGGUAUAAUGACAUGUAUAGGUUCAAUUGGGCCAUUGAUGACAAAUAUGUAUUUUGGUUAUAAAUGGCCAUUGGAAUGGCUUAAGUAGGACAUACUUAUGUUAUGUAUGAAUAUGUGUGGCUUCUUCA
This is a long non-coding RNA of Gossypium raimondii (Peruvian cotton), 290 nucleotides long. RefSeq lists it as uncharacterized. The record is from RefSeq and is a predicted model, not a curated record. The transcript has 2 exons. Lineage: Eukaryota; Viridiplantae; Streptophyta; Magnoliopsida; Malvales; Malvaceae.